Ictalurus punctatus (channel catfish) is the source of this 321-nucleotide long non-coding RNA. NCBI's taxonomy places the organism in Eukaryota, Metazoa, Chordata, Actinopteri, Siluriformes, Ictaluridae. The record is from Ensembl.
GAAUAAGAGAGAGGGAAUAAAGAGAGAGAGAAUAAAGAGAGAGGGAAUAAAGAGAGGGAAUAAAGAGAGGGAAUAGAGAGAGAGAAUAAAGAGAGAGAGAAUAAAGAGAGAGGAAUAAAAGAGUAGGAAUAAAGAGAGAGAAUAAAGAGAGAGGGAAUAAAGAGAGAGGGAAUAAAGAGAGAGAAUAAAGAGAGAGGGAAUAAAGAGAGGGAAUAAAGAGAGAGAAUAAGAGAGAGGGAAUAGAGAGAGGGAAUAAAGAGAGAGAAUAAAGAGAGAGAAUAAAGAGAGAGGGAAUAGAGAGAGGGAAUAAAGAGAGAGAAU